AUUAUUAGGCUGAUAGGUUUAAAAAAGUAUGUCAAACAGGUGAUUUUUUUUAAGCACGUUGGACAUGUGGAGUUGAAGGGAAAAAAAGUUAAUGGGCCUUCUUUGGGCACGAGCCAAAUACGGCACGAGUGGGCUUGUGCCUUGGACCAUGCCAGGCCCUUAUAAAAAAAAUUACGGCACGACCCAUGUGCGCGUUGGCCAUUUUUAGCUGAAGCAUUGACCAAAGAAUUAAAAAAAUUUCAGGUCAUCUUCAUCCCCAUUUCCUAAUUGAUUAUGAUUAUGAGAUAAACAAUGUUCUUUGGGUUUUGGAGCUGCCUGAGAAGAUUAAGAUUUUCAUGUAGAGGGCAAUAAAAAAUAUUUUGCCAGCAGCCGAAAAUUCAUGGAAAAUGAAGUGUUUGCCAAAGCCUAUCUGUCAAAGAUGCAACAAGAGCGUGGAAACUAUAAGUCAUGCACUUUUUGAUUGUAAAGCAGCAAGGAUAAGUCAUUGAAAAUAAAGGAAAUUAUUAAAA
This 509-nucleotide long non-coding RNA is filed under the name Citrus x clementina. RNAcentral describes it as "Citrus clementina (C. clementina) long non-coding RNA (CCLE_LNC000451)". Lineage: Eukaryota; Viridiplantae; Streptophyta; Magnoliopsida; Sapindales; Rutaceae. The record is from RNAcentral.